Molecule: ribosomal RNA, 444 nt
Filed under: uncultured bacterium
Lineage: Bacteria
Description: SSU rRNA
Rfam family: Bacterial small subunit ribosomal RNA
Source: RNAcentral
AGAACGAACGCUGGCGGCAGGCCUCAAACAUGCAAGUCUAGGGGGUGUAGCAAUACAUCACCGGCGGACGGGUGCGUAACGCGUGGGAAUGUACCUAUUGGUUCGGAACAACUGAGGGAAACUUCAGCUAAUACCGGAUGAGCCCGAAAGGGGAAAGAUUUCUCGCCAAUAGAUCAGCCCGCGUCCGAUUAGCUAGUUGGUGGGGUUAAAGCCUACCAAGGCGACGAUCGGUAGCUGUUCUGAGAGGAAGAUCAGCCACACUGGGACUGAGACACGGCCCAGACUCCUACGGGAGGCAGCAGUUGGGAAUCUGGACAAUGGGGAACCCUGAUCCAGCCAUGCCGCGUGAGUGAUGAAGGCCUUCGGGUUGUAAAACUCUUUCGACGGGACGAUAAUGACGGUACCCGUAGAAGAAGCUCCGGCUAACUUCGCGCCAGCAGCCGC